Molecule: ribosomal RNA, 266 nt
Filed under: uncultured bacterium
Lineage: Bacteria
Description: partial 16S ribosomal RNA
Rfam family: Bacterial small subunit ribosomal RNA
Source: RNAcentral
GUCCACGCCGUAAACGAUGUUCACUAGGUGUUGGGGGUAUUGACCCCCUCAGUGCCGGAGCUAACGCAUUAAGUGAACCGCCUGGGGAGUACGGUCGCAAGACUAAAACUCAAAGGAAUUGACGGGGGCCCGCACAAGCGGUGGAGCAUGUGGUUUAAUUCGAUGCAACGCGAAGAACCUUACCUGGGCUUGACAUCCACGGAACCUGCUGGAAACAGCGGGGUGCCCUUCGGGGAGCCGUGAGACAGGUGCUGCAUGGCUGUCGU